CAUCAUGAUGUUCCAUGCUGGGUCA
RNAcentral lists this non-coding RNA (25 nucleotides) under Mus musculus (house mouse). The record is from RNAcentral. Lineage: Eukaryota; Metazoa; Chordata; Mammalia; Rodentia; Muridae.